AGUACAUCACGUGUUUACCGCAAACCAGUCUGUUUACAAGAUGGACGGAGGCAAGGAAAAAUAGUUGUCCGUCUCACUGAAGUAUUAUUUACCAAAGAGACAGUUGAAGAUCUUGAGAGGAACUUCAUAGCAGCUAUAUAUAGAUUAUGUCAAUAAUUACCUGAAUAAAUAUCUUUUAGAUGGAGAUAGAUCA
Saccostrea cuccullata (small rock oyster) is the source of this 193-nucleotide long non-coding RNA. RefSeq lists it as uncharacterized. The transcript is spliced from 2 exons. The record is from RefSeq and is a predicted model, not a curated record. Lineage: Eukaryota; Metazoa; Mollusca; Bivalvia; Ostreida; Ostreidae.